GUCGAGCAUGGCCCAGGAAUUGUGGUAUAAUCUGGCUUGGUGACGUUGGUAGAACAUGACCCAGGCACUGUAGUAUAAUCUGGCUCAAGAACAACAGUGUAGCCUGGCUCAGGCACUUUGGUGCUGCAUGGUUCUGGAAUCUUGGUGUUUCCUGGUUGUGGAACACCAGUGUGGCAUGGUUCGGAGGUGGCUAUGGGAACAAAUUUUCCUUGUGGUGGAGGCUGACAAGGUUGCUUCACUUGAUGCUGUUGAGGCUGAGGAGGUGCAACGAAGGGCUGCUUUUGCUGGUAUCAUUCCUAAAAAGAUUAGAGGCUGCUCAGAUUAUGAUACUGAGAACCCAAAGUACCAUGUAGACUCAUGAGGUUUGAUUCUGAUGUCUUCUGAGAUCAAGAAGGAAGAUCAUAUACGCCUAAUAGGCAAUCAUUUAUACCAAUAUUUUCUGGCGCCUGAAAACUUACUAUGAAGAAAUUAUGGAGAAGACUAGAUGUCACUCACAGAUCUCAGAUGUUUCCUGUAUAGUGUGUCAACCCAGAUUCCAUUGGCAAUUGCUUAGACAUGUGUGACAGCUGUGUGAAGAUGUUGUCCAACAAGGUGAUGAGUAGUUGUCAAACUGGUAGAAAGUGUGACAUCAUCUGUUCUGUAAGGGAUGGGCAUGCUGAUGUAGGUCCAUAUCAUUGCUUAUUUUAGUGAUAAAAGGUUCCAAAACCAAGAAAUGACUCCUGUAUUUAUUAUAGUUACAUACCCUGAUUCAGAGAGGGGAAAUGGUAUCUAAAAUCCACAGUUAUUGAUAAUAGAAAUAUGAGAGUCUUUAAACAUUUCAUAAGAGGAUUUGUCUAGAAGUUCUU
This is a non-coding RNA of Rattus norvegicus (Norway rat), 845 nucleotides long. The record is from RefSeq and is a predicted model, not a curated record. NCBI's taxonomy places the organism in Eukaryota, Metazoa, Chordata, Mammalia, Rodentia, Muridae.